GUCGAGGUGUCCGAGUGGUUAAGGAGUGUGACUUGAAAUCACAUGGGAUUUCCCGCGUAGGUUCAAACCCUGCCCUCGACG
Peziza echinospora is the source of this 81-nucleotide non-coding RNA. The record is from the annotation of a GenBank genome assembly. NCBI's taxonomy places the organism in Eukaryota, Fungi, Ascomycota, Pezizomycetes, Pezizales, Pezizaceae.